GGACUGCUCAUUGGGUAAGGAAUUGAAGGGGACAGUCCUGGGUGUGGUGCACUGCAGUGUCUUUAUCAGUCACAUAAAUGGUGGCAUUCAGUGCACUCUCGGCAAGUUUGCCGAUGGCACCACACAGCUUUGGCAGAAGGCUUGGAUCCAGUGGUCUGCAGAGGUCCCUUCCAACCCCAGAGAUUCUGUGAUAGUGUGAGAAGGGAGCCAUGGAGAUGCUGACAUGUGGGGGGCUGCAGGAGGGCGUGUGGGGUCUCCAUGGCAACUACCAGGACUUUGUGAUGCACGGGCAGCCGCACACAAAGGCCAUUGUGACAUGGUGGUGUCCUGGUGCCUUUAGGAACCAGAGUCCCAGUGCUGCUCACUCUCAGGCGAGUAGCUCCGUGAGGAGGUAGCUUCCCUGGGUGCUUGUAGCUUUGUCUCCGUGAGCGGAUACAGAGAUGGCGAAGGAGCAGGACCAGAAGGCCCACUCCCAGGCCGAGAAAGGACUGCCGAGCGUGCGGGAACAGCGCCAGGUGGGCCGCAGGCCGCAGCAAGCUGUGCUGCCAGGCAGACAGAGCCAGGAUUUGGCUGUCCGUGGGAUCCAACUGCCACCACUGCCCCACCCAGCACAAGCCUCUGGGAGCCGCCGUGCACAGGCGGACAGAAUGGAAGGGAGACGGCCUCUGCCAGCCUUGCCACCUCUCCCACGGCGGGCGCAGUCACUGCCAGCUGCGCCCCGGAAUGCAGCCACUGCUCGGGGACGAGUUCACGCAUUCUCACUGCCAGCAAUAGCUUUCGGGAGUAUCCCAAGAGGCAGAGCUGCCCCUGGUCUUCAGUACCAGGACAUGGCAGCAAGGGUUGAGGGCUGGCAGGAAGAUCUGUCUGUCCGUGCAAUCCCCCUCAAGCCUGCAGAGAGGACACCCAAGUCCCUCAGGUUGGCAUACUGGGUGCGUCUGGGAGCCACACGACCAGGACCCUGGCUGAAGCGAACACGGCCUGGGCGAUGUGCACCCACCAGCACUGUAAGAACACCGGCACGAAGAACCCAGGUGCUGGCCCCCAAGGCUGGGAAAGUCACCUGAGAAUGAGACGCAACGUGCUGCCAGUGCUCAGGAGGACAGCGGAGAUGCUCACAGGGUCUCUACAUCACGCUCCCUGGCAGCAGAGCAGGCAGCAGAGAAGGAAGCAGAGCAGGCAGCAGAGCAGGCAGCAGUGCAGGCAGCAGAGAAGGAAGCAGAGCAGGCAGCAGAGCAGGCAGCAGACGAUGGUGCCAAAGGUGCUGGCACUUCUCAGGCCAUGCUGGAUGCCGAAGACAGCAAAGAGAGGGCCCGCUCUGCCAGGAGAGGGGACAGGUUCCUGCCCUGCUCUCUUUGCUGUUCCACCUACAGCGCUGUUGGCAAAGAUGAGCAGGAUGAGGGGAAAGACACCUCUGGGAGAGACGCUAUGUCAGUGGCAGGAAAGGAGCCUGUGAGCACAUCAUUUCCUGGGGCAGAGUCCCUGCCUCCAGCAUCUCCAGUGCCUGGAAACCUUCAGCAGGAGAUGAGCGAGACAGAGGUGGUAGGCAACGGGCAUGAAGUAAGUGGAGGGAGGGUCAGGAGUGUGCACACUGUGGGGAAGUGUGGCAGGCUGAGCCCUGCCACGGCCAGGCAGCUGCCGGAGUGUGUCAGGGACUGUUGCAGGGGACAACUGGGGCACGAGGGUGCCUCACAGCGAGCAGCUCUCUGGCAGCUUGGCAUGAGGGAACAGGGCUGCAGCAAACACUGAACCAAGUGCUGCCCUCAGGCCCCAUGCAGGGCCUUGCCAUGUCAGCAGGGACAAGUGGGUCGUGCGGGGAAAGGAGCCAACUAACUCAGUGUUUUUGCUUUGCUUCUCUUGCAGGAGGACAGCCUGGAGAUCAGGGACACAUUCACCCACAGCAGCACGCCAGGGGAGGGGAGACAGCCUCUGCCAACUUGUGGACCAUCCCUGUGUGUCCCUGCACCCCCUCUCAAGCCUGCACAUGCCACACGCAAAUCCUACAAUUUGACAUCCAUAAGGCGUCCCGUAGCCACCAGAAAAACCAGCAGGUCCAUGGCAGCGCGCACCCAACAGCAUUAAGGAAACACCAGCACAAGCAGCCCAGGUGCUGGCCCCCCAGGCUGGGAGCAGCCCCACACGUCGGAUACCACCAGCUCCCAGUGCUUAUCUUUCCUGUUUGUGUACACAUUGCUUCUCACCUAGCAUUUAGAUGACCAUCCCGUACAGGGAUUCCUAAUUUGGCUAAAUCUGGCUUUUCAAUCUGGAACUGAAGAAGCAGUAUAUGUAUUCUCUACAGCACAGAUAACAUACUUUGCUUCCUCUGUUCCUCUGAUUUCGGUUUCCAAAAGUACAAUAAAAUUAUUGAGUUCCAUUUUAAAUUUUCCA
RNAcentral lists this long non-coding RNA (2385 nucleotides) under Coturnix japonica (Japanese quail). RNAcentral describes it as "lncRNA (ENSCJPG00005003745.1)". Lineage: Eukaryota; Metazoa; Chordata; Aves; Galliformes; Phasianidae. The record is from RNAcentral.